AUGCACGGCGCUCCAUCCUGCCGAUUCCCCAUCGUCUCCCACUGCCGCCAACCACAUCUUCGCCUUUGUUCUCCCAUAGCACGCCGCCGAGCUUCCCGCUCCCCUCCUCGCAGCUCCACAACUGCCAGAUCUGCCGCUCUCCGACCCCUACGUCCUCGAGGUCGACUAGAUCCGCCCCUCCCGCUAUCUGAAGCUCGCCGCGACCCCUUGCUCGUGGCUAGGGUUUCGGCUGCGGUGCUGCGUCCAUCGACGGUGCGUCUCAGGCGGCACCUCUCCGUCGCCCACCCCGGGCUCCGCGCAAGUUCAUCCGCUCCGGUACCUCGAGGAGUUCGCGCGGCGGUUUGA
This 345-nucleotide ribosomal RNA is filed under the name Triticum aestivum (bread wheat). RNAcentral describes it as "partial small subunit ribosomal RNA". The record is from RNAcentral. Lineage: Eukaryota; Viridiplantae; Streptophyta; Magnoliopsida; Poales; Poaceae.